This 923-nucleotide ribosomal RNA is filed under the name Bacillus stratosphericus. RNAcentral's name for it is "bacterial SSU rRNA". It matches the Rfam family "Bacterial small subunit ribosomal RNA", at positions 38 to 947 of the family's 1533-position model. The record is from RNAcentral. Lineage: Bacteria; Bacillati; Bacillota; Bacilli; Caryophanales; Bacillaceae.
GGCGGGGUGCUAUACAUGCAAGUCGAGCGGACAGAAGGGAGCUUGCUCCCGGAUGUUAGCGGCGGACGGGUGAGUAACACGUGGGUAACCUGCCUGUAAGACUGGGAUAACUCCGGGAAACCGGAGCUAAUACCGGAUAGUUCCUUGAACCGCAGGUUCAAGGAUGAAAGACGGUUUCGGCUGUCACUUACAGAUGGACCCGCGGCGCAUAGCUAGUUGGUGAGGUAACGGCUCACCAAGGCGACGAUGCGUAGCCGACCUGAGAGGGUGAUCGGCCACACUGGGACUGAGACACGGCCCAGACUCCUACGGGAGGCAGCAGUAGGGAAUCUUCCGCAAUGGACGAAAGUCUGACGGAGCAACGCCGCGUGAGUGAUGAAGGUUUUCGGAUCGUAAAGCUCUGUUGUUAGGGAAGAACAAGUGCAAGAGUAACUGCUUGCACCUUGACGGUACCUAACCAGAAAGCCACGGCUAACUACGUGCCAGCAGCCGCGGUAAUACGUAGGUGGCAAGCGUUGUCCGGAAUUAUUGGGCGUAAAGGGCUCGCAGGCGGUUUCUUAAGUCUGAUGUGAAAGCCCCCGGCUCAACCGGGGAGGGUCAUUGGAAACUGGGAAACUUGAGUGCAGAAGAGGAGAGUGGAAUUCCACGUGUAGCGGUGAAAUGCGUAGAGAUGUGGAGGAACACCAGUGGCGAAAGCGACUCUCUGGUCUGUAACUGACGCUGAGGAGCGAAAGCGUGGGGAGCGAACAGGAUUAGAUACCCUGGUAGUCCACGCCGUAAACGAUGAGUGCUAAGUGUUAGGGGUUUCCGCCCCUUAGUGCUGCAGCUAACGCAUUAAGCACUCCGCCUGGGGGAGUACGGUCGCAAGACUGAAACUCAAAGGAAUUGACGGGGGCCCGCACAAGCGGUGGAGCAUGUGGUUU